Molecule: non-coding RNA, 974 nt
Organism: Cucurbita pepo subsp. pepo (vegetable marrow)
Lineage: Eukaryota; Viridiplantae; Streptophyta; Magnoliopsida; Cucurbitales; Cucurbitaceae
Source: RefSeq, a predicted model, not a curated record
AAUUUAGUUUCAGAGUGCUUUCUCUUUAUCCUUUCGUAUUUCUUCAGAUUUUCCUGGGAAUUUAUUUGUUUCCUGUUGGAUUGGUGGGAGCCGUUGAAGAUUAGGGAGGAAUUUCGGGAAGAACUGCGAUCUAGGUUUAUUUAAAUGCUCUGGUUUCGAUUUUAGUCUUAUUUGAAAUGUUCUUCUAUGAUUAUUUGUAUCUUUUGUGCUUUGAUUGCUUAGAAAAUUCCCAUUUCUAGUGGUUUUUGCUCGUGUGGAUUAUUGGAUUAUGGAUGUUAGAGCUGGGGUUUGAUUGAAUUACAUUAUACAACAUUUUGCUUGUGAAAGAGGCAGGUUGAAGAAGAGAAAGCUCAGAAUGGCUAGCAGCUGGAAAAGAUCAUUAGGGAAUGUCAGGUCCCUCAUCGGCAAUUCGAUGGGCGGUCUCAGAGGCGGCGCCAAUCUCGCUUCUUGGGUCGUCGCCGGAACCCUCGCCUACUUCCUUUGGGUCAAGCCCUCCCAAGACCUCAAACGUGAGCAGCAGGAAAGGGCUGCUCUUGCAGCUGUGGAUCCUCAUCGGUAUAUUGAGAAGAGGAAACCUAUUCCCGAUCCCCAGGAAACUGGUUCGAUAUACGACAACAAGAAUACGCCUCGAAAACCAGAGGAAUAAGCUAUGGAGGAGACUGAAAACUUUAGAGAAAUGGAAUUUUGAUUGAGCUUGUCACAGAUUGGAGGGAGCCUAGAACUAUGAAGGUUAGAAGGUGAUAGAUGAGGAAUGUGUGUGUAGUUCAGUAAAGAGUUGUGGUCAAAUCACUUGAAGGUUGAAAAGGUUCUUUAUUUUUUGUUUUUGUCAUUUUCUUUGUUCACAAAUCACCCAGUAACCCGAACUACCCAACGGGUUGGAUAUUUUUUUUGUUCGGGUUGGGUUGAAUUUUUGUAGAACCUAAAUUUUGGUUCAGUUCGCAAGUUAAAGAUUUUUUUUAGUCAUUUCAACUUAA